UCCCCCGGUCGCUCUCCUCCGGCGGUCGCCCGCGCUCGGUGGAUGUGGCUGGCAGCUGCCGCCCCCUCCCUCGCUCGCCGCCUGCUCUUCCUCGGCCCUCCGCCUCCUCCCCUCCUCCUUCUCGUCUUCAGCCGCUCCUCUCGCCGCCGCCUCCACAGCCUGGGCCUCGCCGCGAUGCCGGAGAAGAGGCCCUUCGAGCGGCUGCCUGCCGAUGUCUCCCCCAUCAACUGCAGCCUUUGCCUCAAGCCCGACUUGCUGGACUUCACCUUCGAGGGCAAGCUGGAGGCCGCCGCCCAGGUGAGGCAGGCGACUAAUCAGAUUGUGAUGAAUUGUGCUGAUAUUGAUAUUAUUACAGCUUCAUAUGCACCAGAAGGAGAUGAAGAAAUACAUGCUACAGGAUUUAACUAUCAGAAUGAAGAUGAAAAAGUCACCUUGUCUUUCCCUAGUACUCUGCAAACAGGUACAGGAACCUUAAAGAUAGAUUUUGUUGGAGAGCUGAAUGACAAAAUGAAAGGUUUCUAUAGAAGUAAGUAUACUACCCCUUCUGGAGAGGUGCCCUAUGCUGCUGUAACACAGUUUGAGGCUACUGAUGCCCGAAGGGCUUUUCCUUGCUGGGAUGAGCCUGCUAUCAAAGCAACUUUUGAUAUCUCAUUGGUUGUUCCUAAAGACAGAGUAGCUUUAUCAAACAUGAAUGUAAUUGACCGGAAACCAUACCCUGAUGAUGAAAAUUUAGUGGAAGUGAAGUUUGCCCGCACACCUGUUACAUCUACAUAUCUGGUGGCAUUUGUUGUGGGUGAAUAUGACUUUGUAGAAACAAGGUCAAAAGAUGGUGUGUGUGUCUGUGUUUACACUCCUGUUGGCAAAGCAGAACAAGGAAAAUUUGCAUUAGAGGUUGCUGCUAAAACCUUGCCUUUUUAUAAGGACUACUUCAAUGUUCCUUAUCCUCUACCUAAAAUUGAUCUCAUUGCUAUUGCAGACUUUGCAGCUGGUGCCAUGGAGAACUGGGACCUUGUUACUUAUAGAUGAGCUAAGUGUUGAACGGCCGGCUCAGUGCUGUUUUUGGGACUAUGGAAUGCAUCUUCCUCCACCACUCCCCUCAUUUAAUGAAAGGACUUUCUUCUCUCUCCAUCUAGCACAGUAAUCGCUAAUCCCUUAGACAAUGUUUUCCCAAAAUUUCAGGCAGCUAUUCUAUCAACAAACUGAUAAUUAAACUUGUGUCACAUCUUUGA
Molecule: long non-coding RNA, 1229 nt
Organism: Homo sapiens (human)
Lineage: Eukaryota; Metazoa; Chordata; Mammalia; Primates; Hominidae
Gene: NPEPPSP1
Product: NPEPPS pseudogene 1
Source: Ensembl